Molecule: ribosomal RNA, 1336 nt
Filed under: uncultured Kocuria sp.
Lineage: Bacteria; Bacillati; Actinomycetota; Actinomycetes; Micrococcales; Micrococcaceae
Description: bacterial SSU rRNA
Rfam family: Bacterial small subunit ribosomal RNA
Source: RNAcentral
GACGAACGCUGGCGGCGUGCUUAACACAUGCAAGUCGAACGAUGAUGCCCAGCUUGCUGGGCGGAUUAGUGGCGAACGGGUGAGUAAUACGUGAGUAACCUGCCCUUGACUCUGGGAUAAGCCUGGGAAACUGGGUCUAAUACUGGAUACUACCUCUUGCCGCAUGGUGGGUGGUGGAAAGGGUUUUACUGGUUUUGGAUGGGCUCACGGCCUAUCAGCUUGUUGGUGGGGUAAUGGCUCACCAAGGCGACGACGGGUAGCCGGCCUGAGAGGGUGACCGGCCACACUGGGACUGAGACACGGCCCAGACUCCUACGGGAGGCAGCAGUGGGGAAUAUUGCACAAUGGGCGGAAGCCUGAUGCAGCGACGCCGCGUGAGGGAUGACGGCCUUCGGGUUGUAAACCUCUUUCAGUAGGGAAGAAGCGAGAGUGACGGUACCUGCAGAAGAANNCGCCGGCUAACUACGUGCCAGCAGCNGCGGUAAUACGUAGGGCGCAAGCGUUGUCCGGAAUUAUUGGGCGUAAAGAGCUCGUAGGCGGUUUGUCGGGUCUGCUGUGAAAGCCCGGGGCUCAACCCCGGGGUCUGCAGUGGGUACGGGCAGACUAGAGUGCAGUAGGGGAGACUGGAAUUCCUGGUGUAGCGGUGAAAUGCGCAGAUAUCAGGAGGAACACCGAUGGCGAAGGCAGGUCUCUGGGCUGUUACUGACGCUGAGGAGCGAAAGCAUGGGGAGCGAACAGGAUUAGAUACCCUGGUAGUCCAUGCCGUAAACGUUGGGCACUAGGUGUGGGGGACAUUCCACGUUUUCCGCGCCGUAGCUAACGCAUUAAGUGCCCCGCCUGGGGAGUACGGCCGCAAGGCUAAAACUCAAAGGAAUUGACGGGGGCCCGCACAAGCGGCGGAGCAUGCGGAUUAAUUCGAUGCAACGCGAAGAACCUUACCAAGGCUUGACAUUCACCGGACCGCCCCAGAGAUGGGGUUUCCCUUCGGGGCUGGUGGACAGGUGGUGCAUGGUUGUCGUCAGCUCGUGUCGUGAGAUGUUGGGUUAAGUCCCGCAACGAGCGCAACCCUCGUUCUAUGUUGCCAGCACGUGAUGGUGGGGACUCAUAGGAGACUGCCGGGGUCAACUCGGAGGAAGGUGGGGAUGACGUCAAAUCAUCAUGCCCCUUAUGUCUUGGGCUUCACGCAUGCUACAAUGGCCGGUACAAAGGGUUGCGAUACUGUGAGGUGGAGCUAAUCCCAAAAAGCCGGUCUCAGUUCGGAUUGAGGUCUGCAACUCGACCUCAUGAAGUCGGAGUCGCUAGUAAUCGCAGAUCAGCAACGCUGCGGUGAAUACGU